CCUACGGGUGGCUGCAGUGGGGAAUAUUGGACAAUGGGCGAAAGCCUGAUCCAGCCAUGCCGCGUGUGUGAAGAAGGCCUUCGGGUUGUAAAGCACUUUCAGUGGGGAAGAAAGCCUUGGGGCUAAUACCCUCGAGGAAGGACAUCACCCACAGAAGAAGCACCGGCUAACUCCGUGCCAGCAGCCGCGGUAAUACGGAGAGUGCGAGCGUUAAUCGGAAUUACUGGGCGUAAAGCGCGCGUAGGCGGUCUGAUAAGCCGGUUGUGAAAGCCCCGGGCUCAACCUGGGAACGGCAUCCGGAACUGUCAGGCUAGAGUGCAGGAGAGGAAGGUAGAAUUCCCGGUGUAGCGGUGAAAUGCGUAGAGAUCGGGAGGAAUACCAGUGGCGAAGGCGGCCUUCUGGACUGACACUGACGCUGAGGUGCGAAAGCGUGGGUAGCAAACAGGAUUAGAUACCCUUGUAGUC
This 465-nucleotide ribosomal RNA is filed under the name Vreelandella stevensii. Its description in RNAcentral is "partial 16S ribosomal RNA". It matches the Rfam family "Bacterial small subunit ribosomal RNA", at positions 338 to 795 of the family's 1533-position model. Lineage: Bacteria; Pseudomonadati; Pseudomonadota; Gammaproteobacteria; Oceanospirillales; Halomonadaceae. The record is from RNAcentral.